This 449-nucleotide ribosomal RNA is filed under the name uncultured cyanobacterium. Its description in RNAcentral is "bacterial SSU rRNA". It matches the Rfam family "Bacterial small subunit ribosomal RNA", at positions 28 to 524 of the family's 1533-position model. The record is from RNAcentral. Lineage: Bacteria; Bacillati; Cyanobacteriota.
GAUGAACGCUGGCGGUAUGCUUAACACAUGCAAGUCGAACGGACUCUUCGGAGUUAGUGGCGGACGGGUGAGUAACGCGUGAGAAUCUGCCUUCAGGUCGGGGACAACAGUUGGAAACGACUGCUAAUACCCGAUGUGCAGCAAUGUGAAAGAUUUAUUGCCUGAAGAUGAGCUCGCGUCUGAUUAGCUAGUAGGUGUGGUAAUGGCGCACCUAGGCGACGAUCAGUAACUGGUCUGAGAGGACGAUCAGCCACACUGGAACUGAGACACGGUCCAGACUCCUACGGGAGGCAGCAGUGGGGAAUUUUCCGCAAUGGGCGAAAGCCUGACGGAGCAAUACCGCGUGAGGGACGAAGGCUUUUGGGUCGUAAACCUCUUUUCUCAAGGAAGAUAAUGACGGUACUUGAGGAAUAAGCAUCGGCUAACUCUGUGCCAGCAGCCGCGGUAAU